Long non-coding RNA from Pieris brassicae (large cabbage white), 765 nucleotides. RefSeq lists it as uncharacterized. The transcript has 4 exons. Lineage: Eukaryota; Metazoa; Arthropoda; Insecta; Lepidoptera; Pieridae. The record is from RefSeq and is a predicted model, not a curated record.
ACUUAACAAAAUAUUAGGUAUCUCCAAGCUUAGUUAUAACUGAAAUAUCAAAGGAAUACUCUAAGAUCGAAAUAAAUGCUAUUGUAUACUACUUAGAUGUAUGUUAAAAGUUUGACGUCUCAAAUCUAGUGUACAACAAAAUCGGAGUUUUAAUCAAUUUUGAAGAUGAGGGUACAUUCUGUAAAAGUGGACAGGUGAAGGACUGCAUAGUCAAACAAGAACAAUGAUACAAAAAGGACCUACAUUUAUAUGCUCGUUCCACGAUAAAACUAGCAUAGUUGAAGAUUGGAAAUACGGUUCGAGGUAUGACAAGGAAAUAACUUUAAGAAGAGUUGGAGAUCCAUAAAUACCAACACAAAUGCACAAAUAUGAAUACAGAAAGCAUUUUAAAAAAGAUCUCUGGUUGUAAAUUAGUGCAUUUAGCAUUAAAAUCUGGAGGCAAUCCUCCUUCAUCUUGUUAUCUACAAUCAACACUGUUUCUGCCAAAUACCUGCUGGUGGCAGCACUAACAUAUAUUUUUAUAACUGGAGAACCUGUUAAAGAUGAUGAUAUGUGGAAUUUUCUCACCUAAACUGGUCUCCUAAAAGAAACAGAUAAUGCAGGAUGCAAAAUAAUUACUAAGCAAUCAUAUCUAAAGUGUACCAAGGAAUUUGAAUGACAUCCAAAUAACUGGCUUGAACAAUACCAAGUGUGCACAGUAACAGUUUAUAAUUGGACUCUAUUAGUCAAAAGUUAUCAAAGAAAAUAAAGUUUACUAGUUCUGAA